AUGUCCCACUCGUGCACUCCGGUUCCCACGCACUGUCCGCACCUACCUAACGACUGCUUGCUAGGUAGUGUUAGCC
Molecule: small RNA, 76 nt
Filed under: Xanthomonas campestris
Lineage: Bacteria; Pseudomonadati; Pseudomonadota; Gammaproteobacteria; Lysobacterales; Lysobacteraceae
Description: sX9 sRNA
Rfam family: Xanthomonas sRNA sX9
Source: RNAcentral